RNAcentral lists this ribosomal RNA (211 nucleotides) under uncultured bacterium. Its description in RNAcentral is "partial 16S ribosomal RNA". It matches the Rfam family "Bacterial small subunit ribosomal RNA", at positions 524 to 734 of the family's 1533-position model. The record is from RNAcentral.
UACGUAGGGUGCGAGCGUUGCCCGGAUUUAUUGGGCGUAAAGGGCGCGUAGGCGGCCACGCACGUCCGUUGUGAAAUCGCCCGGCUCAACUGGGCGGGGUCAGCGGAUACGGUGUGGCUCGAGCAAGCUAGGGGCAAGUGGAAUUCCCGGUGUGAGUGGUGGAAUGCGUAGAUAUCGGAGGAACACCAGUGGCGAAGGCGGUUGCCUGGAG